GGUCAAGCUACAAAGGGCUCAUGGUGAUACCUU
RNAcentral lists this ribosomal RNA (33 nucleotides) under uncultured cyanobacterium. RNAcentral's name for it is "partial 23S ribosomal RNA". Lineage: Bacteria; Bacillati; Cyanobacteriota. The record is from RNAcentral.